GACUUUUUAACUAUAUAAGUAUAUAUUUUGAAAAUAUAAAAAAGAGAAAUCUCUAUUAGUCU
This 62-nucleotide transfer RNA is filed under the name Haemaphysalis sulcata. Its description in RNAcentral is "tRNA-Ser". Lineage: Eukaryota; Metazoa; Arthropoda; Arachnida; Ixodida; Ixodidae. The record is from RNAcentral.